Molecule: vault RNA, 116 nt
Filed under: Hippocampus comes (tiger tail seahorse)
Lineage: Eukaryota; Metazoa; Chordata; Actinopteri; Syngnathiformes; Syngnathidae
Description: Vault RNA (ENSHCOG00000013421.1)
Rfam family: Vault RNA
About the family: This family of RNAs are found as part of the enigmatic vault ribonucleoprotein complex. The complex consists of a major vault protein (MVP), two minor vault proteins (VPARP and TEP1), and several small untranslated RNA molecules.
Source: RNAcentral
GCACUGGUUUAGCUCAGUGGUUACUUCCUCCUCACCUCCAGUUUGAUAUAUUUACCACUAUAUCUUGGCACUCAAUCCUUAACAGGAUCAAACCACGGGCGCCAUCCAGUGUUUUA